UNCUUUUAUCAGGUGUGUCUUCUUAGCCU
Molecule: non-coding RNA, 29 nt
Filed under: Mus musculus (house mouse)
Lineage: Eukaryota; Metazoa; Chordata; Mammalia; Rodentia; Muridae
Source: RNAcentral